GGGGCAAUGGCUCAGUUGGGAGAGCGUCAGACUGAAGAUCUGAAGGUCCUCGGUUCGAUCCCGAGUUGCCCCA
Molecule: transfer RNA, 73 nt
Organism: Ophiostoma piceae
Lineage: Eukaryota; Fungi; Ascomycota; Sordariomycetes; Ophiostomatales; Ophiostomataceae
Rfam family: tRNA
About the family: Transfer RNA (tRNA) molecules are approximately 80 nucleotides in length. Their secondary structure includes four short double-helical elements and three loops (D, anti-codon, and T loops).
Source: Rfam